Molecule: ribosomal RNA, 448 nt
Filed under: uncultured bacterium
Lineage: Bacteria
Description: bacterial SSU rRNA
Rfam family: Bacterial small subunit ribosomal RNA
Source: RNAcentral
GAGCGGUAGAGAGAAGCUUGCUUCUCUUGAGAGCGGCGGACGGGUGAGUAAUGCCUAGGAAUCUGCCUGGUAGUGGGGGAUAACGUCCGGAAACGGACGCUAAUACCGCAUACGUCCUACGGGAGAAAGCAGGGGACCUUCGGGCCUUGCGCUAUCAGAUGAGCCUAGGUCGGAUUAGCUAGUUGGUGAGGUAAUGGCUCACCAAGGCGACGAUCCGUAACUGGUCUGAGAGGAUGAUCAGUCACACUGGAACUGAGACACGGUCCAGACUCCUACGGGAGGCAGCAGUGGGGAAUAUUGGACAAUGGGCGAAAGCCUGAUCCAGCCAUGCCGCGUGUGUGAAGAAGGUCUUCGGAUUGUAAAGCACUUUAAGUUGGGAGGAAGGGCAGUUGCCUAAUACGUAACUGUUUUGACGUUACCGACAGAAUAAGCACCGGCUAACUCUGUG